RNAcentral lists this small RNA (335 nucleotides) under Histoplasma capsulatum. Its description in RNAcentral is "hypothetical RNA". The record is from RNAcentral. RNAcentral also lists the same sequence under 1 other name. Lineage: Eukaryota; Fungi; Ascomycota; Eurotiomycetes; Onygenales; Ajellomycetaceae.
GGCAACGGUAAAUCUAAAAGCUCAAGGAACUCAACCCUGUCGUUUACUUGGGGUUAUUCUCCAAAACAUUGUCACCCUUCAUGGCACGGAUAAACUGUAUAUCCCUCCUCGGUUUAAAGCUCUACAUCAAUCUUGGGUUCCAGAGUUAGAUUACCCAGGACAUCUUUAUAAGGACGAGAUGGAGAAUAACCACGGUGGAGAGCAUCAAUACUUCCUUCGCUCAUGAUUUUAUCUUAUAUAUGUAAAGACUAAUUGCUGUCAUAUCCCAGGCUCGAAGACCUAUACGGCGAUCAGGAUUUUGAGAAAACGAAUCCUCUGGCCUAUCCGCUAUUGGG